RNAcentral lists this ribosomal RNA (497 nucleotides) under uncultured bacterium. Its description in RNAcentral is "partial 16S ribosomal RNA". It matches the Rfam family "Bacterial small subunit ribosomal RNA", at positions 28 to 507 of the family's 1533-position model. The record is from RNAcentral.
GAUGAACGCUGGCGGCGUGCCUAAUACAUGCAAGUCGAGCGAACAGAUGAGGAGCUUGCUCCUCUGACGUUAGCGGCGGACGGGUGAGUAACACGUGGAUAACCUACCUAUAAGACUGGGAUAACUUCGGGAAACCGGAGCUAAUACCGGAUAAUAUAUUGAACCGCAUGGUUCAAUAGUGAAAGACGGUUUUGCUGUCACUUAUAGAUGGAUCCGCGCCGCAUUAGCUAGUUGGUAAGGUAACGGCUUACCAAGGCGCCGAUGCGUAGCCGCCCUGAGAGGGUCAUCGGCCCCACUGGACUCGAGACACCGCCCACACUCCGACGGGAGGCAGCCGACUGGAAUCUUCGGAAAGGGGCGAAAGCCUGACGGAGCAACGCCGCGUGUGUGACGAAGGUGUUCGGAACGGAAGACAGUGUUAGUAGGGAAGAACAAAUGUGUGAGCAACUAUGCACUUUUUGACGGUACCCACUGAGAAAGCCACGUCUAACUACGGG